ACGACUCUCGGCAACGGAUAUCUCGGCUCUCGCAUCGAUGAAGAACGUAGCGAAAUGCGAUACCUGGUGUGAAUUGCAGAAUCCCGCGAACCAUCGAGUCUUCGAACGCAAGUUGCGCCCGAGGCCACUCGGCCGAGGGCACGCCUGCCUGGGCGUCACGC
This 161-nucleotide ribosomal RNA is filed under the name Hordeum pusillum. Its description in RNAcentral is "5.8S ribosomal RNA". It matches the Rfam family "5.8S ribosomal RNA". Rfam says of the family: 5.8S ribosomal RNA (5.8S rRNA) is a component of the large subunit of the eukaryotic ribosome. It is transcribed by RNA polymerase I as part of the 45S precursor that also contains 18S and 28S rRNA. Functionally, it is thought that 5.8S rRNA may be involved in ribosome translocation. The record is from RNAcentral. Lineage: Eukaryota; Viridiplantae; Streptophyta; Magnoliopsida; Poales; Poaceae.